CAGGGGGUGCUAGCGUUGUUCGGAAUUACUGGGCGUAAAGGGCGCGUAGGCGGUUUAGCAAGUCAGAUGUGAAAGCCCGGGGCUUAACUCCGGAAGUGCAUUUGAAACUGCUAGGCUAGAGUGCAGUAGAGGUUAUUGGAAUUCCCAGUGUAGAGGUGAAAUUCGUAGAUAUUGGGAGGAACACCAGUGGCGAAGGCGGAUAACUGGGCUGUAACUGACGCUGAGGCGCGAAAGCGUGGGGAUCAAACAGGAUUAGAUACCCUGGUAGUCCACGCCGUAAACGAUGGAUACUCGCUGUGGCUGGUAUUGACCCCGGCCGUAGCCAAGUUAACACGAUAAGUAUCCCGCCUGGGAAGUACGGUCGCAAAGAUUA
Molecule: ribosomal RNA, 373 nt
Filed under: uncultured organism
Description: bacterial SSU rRNA
Rfam family: Bacterial small subunit ribosomal RNA
Source: RNAcentral